This is a long non-coding RNA of Microtus oregoni (creeping vole), 300 nucleotides long. RefSeq lists it as uncharacterized. Lineage: Eukaryota; Metazoa; Chordata; Mammalia; Rodentia; Cricetidae. The record is from RefSeq and is a predicted model, not a curated record. The transcript has 3 exons.
UGGACCAGCACUUCCAGAAGAUUCCUGUGGUGCAAAGAAAGAAGCUGACCCUGCUGGAUUGUGACUCACCUGCCAGGAACUCCGGGGCACCUGGGACCCGGGCAGAAGAUGAGCCACAGCUAGGACACUGAUCACCAGGCUCCAGCUCCCCACCCUCCACCCCGCCACCCCUGCUCUGGUCCCCAGCUCCAGUUCACCUGCUUGUGAUGCUCCUGGAAGGAUUGAUUGAUUCUGUUUACCUGAAAACACAGCAGAUGAGGAGUGGGUCUGUGUCCCUGAGAAAACCCCUUCACCUCUAUG